UCUGCUGGAAUGUGAUGCAAAAAUGAGGGAUUAAUUGUGGAAAUUUCCCAUUUGACAUAUAAAUGCAUAAAUUGGGUCUGGGCAUGGAUCAACACGCGGCCCCCACCCUUAAACACCACCAUUUCAAUAUUAAAAAAGCAAAAAACAGAACCACUGAACUCUGCCAUUUUCAAUGAAACUUAUACCUAACCCCCCCAUUUUUUUUCUUAUUCUUUACCUUGGCAGACUCUUAGGCUUCACCGGCGCAUAAUACGCCUCCACCACCGUCGCGGUUUCAGCCAGACCACAAGGAUCUGUCGACCAUCAGGCCGGAGGAGCCAACGUCGACUAAAUCGACACCAAAAAUAGUAAAUAAACUCCUCUUUUAGAUUUGUCAAGUAGAUUCGAAAUAAGGUGGCAAUGGCAGACAGCUGGUAGUGGCGGGCCCAGGUGCGGCGGCUAGGGUUUUUGUUUCCUUUUUUGGCUAAGAAUUGUUUAGGUGUUGGGCUAUUGGGCUUUAGCUUUUUUUUUGGGUUUGGUUUGAUUGUUUUUUUUUUAUUAUUUGGUAGGCCCGAGUAAAUUUUGUGCCUUACAGACUGCAUGCACUUCAACAAAAACAUAAUAACAGCAUGGUUGGCCACCUUCAACAA
Gossypium arboreum is the source of this 629-nucleotide long non-coding RNA. RefSeq lists it as uncharacterized. NCBI's taxonomy places the organism in Eukaryota, Viridiplantae, Streptophyta, Magnoliopsida, Malvales, Malvaceae. The transcript is spliced from 2 exons. The record is from RefSeq and is a predicted model, not a curated record.